GAAAAGCUGAUAUAUCAAGGUUAACUCAUAGGAAUUAUGCUAUGGCACUCAAAACAAGCUUGACAAGCUCAAAAUUCAAAAAACAGGUGUAAUAAACAACCUCUGAAUGGUCAAAUUUUCAUAAGCACAAGUUCGGUCUUCGGUCACGGAUUGAAGAUCAUUCACAAAUGAUUAAAUGUGUACCCUUUAAAGGGUAGAUCCUCAACUAUGCAUAUGUUAUGCACAACCAGAUUUUGAUUACCAAAUUCAUCAUCAUCAUGAGGCCUUAUCCCAAUUAUUUGAGGUCGUAUCAGCUGUAGAUUACACAUUAAAUAUGCUAAAAAGUAGACCAGCAUACCUGGUCCCAAAAUUCUCUCACUGAGCUUCAGUUAGACCAAUGCACAUAUAUAACUAGGUUUAUGGCUGCCGCCGAAGCAUAGGUUAAUGAAUUUCUCUUCAAUGGAAACACUUUCUAGAAAUGUAUAUAUAACAUUCUCAUAAGCAUACUGCAUUUUGAAAGUACCACUGAUUAGCACUGGAAAGCUCAAAAUCUCUUUUAUUCUCAAAUAAGCACCUCUUAACAGAUUUUAGAGAACUUCAGAAAAUUGAACAUGCAACACACGAGGUAUUUCUUGCUACAAACUGAUAAUGUUUCAUAAAGGCCUGCUUGCCACCUAAUCUAUGGUUUUACAAGAUACGCCAUCAGAUGGCAUGUAAGCAAUGUUGGAAAAGUCACUAGGCGUUGCCUAGGCGAUGGGAGAGCUAGGCCACCUAGGCGAGCACCCAAAGGCACGGGUGCCCAAUUGUCGAAAAAAAAAAGAAAUUCUAGGGUUUGGUUAAAUACAAAACCCCGUGGAUAUUUUACAAGAUAUUCAAAUUUUCAAACUACUUGCAAUCCAUAUUCUAAAGUUGUAAAAAAUUCACAAAUUAUAAAAACAUGAUAAACAAAACCAAACUAUACCAAUCUAUAUUCUGAAAAUGUACAAAAUCAUAAACAGAUAAAUAUAAAAUAUAAUGAAUGAGAA
Molecule: long non-coding RNA, 1004 nt
Filed under: Amborella trichopoda
Lineage: Eukaryota; Viridiplantae; Streptophyta; Magnoliopsida; Amborellales; Amborellaceae
Description: long non-coding RNA (ATRI_LNC002198)
Source: RNAcentral